This is a long non-coding RNA of Oncorhynchus keta (chum salmon), 4862 nucleotides long. RefSeq lists it as uncharacterized. The transcript has 4 exons. The record is from RefSeq and is a predicted model, not a curated record. NCBI's taxonomy places the organism in Eukaryota, Metazoa, Chordata, Actinopteri, Salmoniformes, Salmonidae.
GAGGACGGGGAGUGAGGCAGGAGAAGAGGACGGGGUAUGGCAGGAGGGAAGGGGGGACAGUUCAAAAUGCUAUGACCCAGGAUGAACGGGCAUGCCCGCUCAAGCCUUCUCCUUCUCUCUCACACACACACCUCUCGCACAGAGUUUAUCCAAAUGUUCUGUGUAAAAUCCAUGCAUUCCAUUGGUUAAAGAGCUCCUCAACUAUUCCUCUGUAGAAAGAUAAAGAGAGUGUUUGUGGGUGUGUGAGUACCAGAACAGUUUGCUGGUCCCCACAAGGAAAAAUACUAUUUUGGGGUUUGGGAAAAUAGGAUUUUAAAUGGGAAUCAAUUGUGUGUCCCCACAAGGUUAGUUAAACAAAGACUGUGUGUGUAUGUGCUAGUAUUUGAAGAAAGCGCUACAGGAGGAGUACAGAGACUAAUAGCAGCAGUAAAUCCUGUGGAGCUAAGAGCAGUAGACAGCAGAAGGCUUUGUGUUGAUCUCUAGUGGAACCACCUCACUUUACCCCUUACCUCAGCCCUGAAGAUUACCCCCAGCACCCCAAUGCCCUGCACUCCAUCGUAGUGUGUGUGCGUGUGCACAAACAUUCUUUUGCGACCCAUUCCUCUUUGUGACACACACACACGGGUGGCUGUAAGGGCAUUUGCCUCAGUUUCCCUAGCCCUCACUUCCCUGUGACGCCUUUGCCAAAGGAGGUGUGUGAAUGGAAGUUCGUAUGUAGUCUAUAUGGUAUGUAUUGGUGUAUGUGUAUAUGAGGGCUAUGGGUUGAGUGGAGAGGGAGCUUGUGAUAACAUGGGCCAAGGCAGCCCAGCUUCACAACACACACAUAAAUAAACACACAGAAAUAAAUAAGAAAGCAUAGGAUCAAUGCUUCAGAAAUGACGGGGGGAAAUGGAACGAUAAUAUAGACCUGUAGGAUCCAGACAUUCAGAGAAACCUGAGAGCAUUAAUUUAGCGCUAACCUUAUCAGAACACUAACAGAAGUUGUACAUCAGUUAUUUUUGUAUCUUGGCACAAAUACAAUGUUUAUUAGCACGAGUGCUAUCAGAAUCCAAUCAGAAUCCAAUCAAACUGCUAUCAGAAUACAAUUAGAACACUAUCAAAAUGCUAUUAAAAUCACAUUUAUUUAUAAAGCCCAUUUUACAUCAGCAGAUGUCACAAAAUGCUUAUACAGAAAACCCAAUCAGAAAGCAAUGCAGAUAUAGAAGUGUGGUAGCUGGGAAGAACUCCCUAGAAAGGCAGGAACUUAGGAACCAGGGUCUGAGAGUGGCCAGUCCUCUUCCGGCUGUGCCGGGUGGAGAUUGUAAGAGAUUGUUCUUCAAGAUGUUCAAAUGUUCAUAGAUGACCAGCAGGGUCAGUUAAUAAUCACAGUGGUUGUAGAGGUCGCAACAGGUCAGCACCUCAGGAGUAAAUGUCAGUUGACUUUUCUUAGCUGAGCAUUCAGAGGUUGAGACAGCAGGUGCGGUAGAGAGGGAGAGAGAGGGUCGAAAACAGCAGGUUCGGGACAAGGUAGCACGUCCGGUGAACAGGUCAGGUUUCCAUCUCCACAGGCAGAACAGUUGAAACUGGUGCAGCAGCAUGACAAGGUAGCACGUCCGGUGAACAGGUCAGGUUUCCAUCUCCACAGGCAGAACAGUUGAAACUGGAGCAGCAGCAUGACAAGGUAGCACGUCCGGUGAACAGGUCAGGUUUCCAUCUCCACAGGCAGAACAGUUGAAACUGGAGCAGCAGCAUGACAAGGUAGCACGUCCGGUGAACAGGUCAGGUUUCCAUCUCCACAGGCAGAACAGUUGAAACUGGAGCAGCAGCAUGACAAGGUAGCACGUCCGGUGAACAGGUCAGGUUUCCAUCUCCACAGGCAGAACAGUUGAAACUGGAGCAGCAGCAUGACAAGGUAGCACGUCCGGUGAACAGGUCAGGUUUCCAUCUCCACAGGCAGAACAGUUGAAACUGGAGCAGCAGCAUGACAAGGUAGCACGUCCGGUGAACAGGUCAGGUUUCCAUCUCCACAGGCAGAACAGUUGAAACUGGAGCAGCAGCAUGACAAGGUAGCACGUCCGGUGAACAGGUCAGGUUUCCAUCUCCACAGGCAGAACAGUUGAAACUGGAGCAGCAGUAUGACAAGGUAGUACGUCCGGUGAACAGGUCAGGUUUCCAUCUCCACAGGCAGAACAGUUGAAACUGGAGCAGCAGCAUGACAAGGUAGCACGUCCGGUGAACAGGUCAGGUUUCCAUCUCCACAGGCAGAACAGUUGAAACUGGAGCAGCAGCAUGACAAGGUAGCACGUCCGGUGAACAGGUCAGGUUUCCAUCUCCACAGGCAGAACAGUUGAAACUGGAGCAGCAGCAUGACAAGGUAGCACGUCUGGUGAACAGGUCAGGUUUCCAUCUCCACAGGCAGAACAGUUGAAACUGGAGCAGCAGCAUGACAAGGUAGCACGUCCGGUGAACAGGUCAGGUUUCCAUCUCCACAGGCAGAACAGUUGAAACUGGAGCAGCAGCAUGACAAGGUAGCACGUCCGGUGAACAGGUCAGGGUUCCAUCUCCACAGGCAGAACAGUUGAAACUGGAGCAGCAGCAUGACAAGGUAGCACAUCCGGUGAACAGGUCAGGGUUCCAUCUCCACAGGCAGAACAGUUGAAACUGGAGCAGCAGCACGACAAGGUGGACUGGGGACAGGGACAGCCAUGAGUCAUCAGGCCAGGUAGUUCUGAGGAAUGGUCGUAGAACUGUAACCCCACCCACUUUACCUAAGGACAGCCCCACACCACUAGGGGGAUAUUAGCAGACCACCAACUUACAAGUCUGAGUAUAGCCCAUGAAGAUCUCCUCCACCGCAAGCCCGAGGGCAGAGAAUCCCAGUGGAGAGAGGGGAGCCAGCCAUGCAGAGACAGCAAGGGCAGUUCGUCACUCCAGUGCAUUGCCAUUCACCUUUGCACCCCUGGGCCAAACUACACCCAAUCAUAGGACCUACUGAUGUAGAGUAAAGUCGAGACUGAGUCUGCGUCUCUGAUGGAUAGGCAGACCAUUCCAUAAAAAUGGAGCUCUAUAAUAGAAAGCCCUGCCUCCAGCAGCUUUCUUAACUUUUUUAGGGACAUUAAGGAGGUAUACUUUAUUGUGACCGUAGCGUAGGUAUAGGUAUGUACGGCAGGAUCAAAUCAGAGAGAUAGGUAGGAGCAAGUCUAUUUAAUGCUUUGAAAGUUAGCAAUAAAACCUAGAAGUCCACCCUCGCCUUAACAGGAAACCAGUGUAGAGAGGCACUGAUUGAAUUUGUUGGUUCUAGUCAAGAUUCUAGCAGAUGUAUUUAGCACUAACUGAAGUUUAUUUAGUGCUUUAUCUGGGUAGCUGGGGAGUAGAGCAUUGCAGUAGUGUAAUCUAGAAGUGACAAAAGCAUGGGUUAGCUUUUAUGCAUCAUUUUUGGACAAAAAGGUUGAAGAAAAUAUGGAAGAUAGAAAAAGCUGCUCUUGAAAUAUUAUUGAUAUGUUCAUUAAAAGAGAGAUCAGGGUCCAGAGUAGGUCCUUCACAGUUUUAUUUGAGACGACUGUACAACCAUCAAGAUUAAUUGUCAGAUCAAACAGCAGAUUGCUUUGUUUCUUGGGACGUAGAACUAGCAUCUCUGUUUGGUCCGAGUUUAAAAGUAAAACGUUUGCUUCCAUCCACUUCCUUAUGUCUGAAACAUAGGCUUCCAAGGUAGGCAAUUUUGGGGCUUCACCAUGUUUCAUCGAAAUGUACAGCUGUGUGUCAUCCGCAUAGCAGUGAAAGUUGUCAUUUUGUUUUUACAAAUGACAUCACCAAGAGGUAGAAUAUAUAGUGAAAACAAUAGUGGGCCUAAAACGGAACCUUGAGGAACACCGAAACUUACCAUUGAUUUGUCAGAGGACGAACUGAUAUCUUUCUGACAGAUAAGAUCUAAACCAGGCAAGAACUUGUCUGUGUAGACUGGAAGGUUUAGAGGCCAUGACUAUUUUCGUGUAUGUGUUGAUUGAGACAGGAUUUUAAAACUUUGGUAUCUCCAUUGAUCCUUGGUCCUGGCAGGUCUGUGUAGUGCUGAAGUGAAGGCCAUCCACACUUGGGGAAGGCUGCUUUUUAGUUAGCUUUGCGACAAUAUCAAAAAUAUAUUUUGAAUUGUUUUUAUUCUCCUCAAUUAGGUUGGAAAAAUAUGCUCAUAGCACAGCAGUGAGGGCUCUUCAAUAUCGCACGGUAGUCAGAAGUCUUCCAGUUUGGGGGAGCGCCAUUUACAUUCCAAUUUUCUGGAAGCUUGCUUCAGGGCUUGGUUAUUUUCUGUAUUUUUUUUUACCUUUAUUUAACUAGGCAAGUCAGUUAAGAACAAAUUCUUAUUUUCAAUGACGGCCUAGGAACAGUGGGUUAACUGCCUGUUCAGGGGCAGAACGACAGAUUUGUACCUUGUCAGCUCAGGGAUUUGAACUUGCAACCUUCCAGUCACUAGUCCAACGCUCUAACCACUAGGCUACCCUGCCGCGGAGGGAGGUCAUUUCUUGUGACAAAUGCUUUUAGAGGUGUGACUGCCUCUAGGGUAUUAAGCAAGGUUAAAUUUAGUCCUUGGGUAAGCGGAGGGAGUCUGGAAGGGCAUCUAGCAAUCUUUGGGCUGUCUGAGAAUUUAUAGCGUGGCUUUUGAUAAUCCGUAGUUGGGAUCUGAGCAGAUUAUUUGUUGCGAUUGCAAAUGUUAAAAGGUGGUCCGAUAAUCCAGGAGGAAAAAACAUUUAGAUCCACAAUAUUUAUUCCAUGGGACAAAACUAGAUCCAGGGUAUGACUGUGGCAAUAUGUAGGUCUAGAGACAUGUUGGACAAAACCCUUUCAGUCGAUGAUGGCUCCCAAAGCCUUUUGGAGUGGGUCUGUGGACUUUU